Homo sapiens (human) is the source of this 1613-nucleotide long non-coding RNA. Ensembl annotates it as long intergenic non-protein coding RNA 1515. Lineage: Eukaryota; Metazoa; Chordata; Mammalia; Primates; Hominidae. The record is from Ensembl.
GUGGAACCUGGAAUUCAAACGGCUGGGGCCUCACUCACGGCAUAUGGAACUAACCACGCCCCUAACUAAGAAGGCACACCUUAGUUGCAGUUAGCACACAAUUAAAGCAACUCUCCAAGUUUUACCUUAAAGUUCAAAAUUGCUAGGAGUUGAAACUACUAGAAAUAUAUUUACAUGCAAGAGUCAAAGAAACUUUGAACUAUUUAUGGCCUUUAAUAAUUAAGUAAGGUAUACUCCUGUGAUCAAGACUUGGAGCAUAUUUGUUUCUCUCUGCCUGGUUCCUCUAGAAAUUGGAAACUAUCAGAACAGAGACCAACUCCGUUUCCCGAUCCCUUUGCAAUCUGCAUUGAACCAUGAGUCAAGUUCUUGAUAAAGGAGUGAAAAUGGAUGACAUUUAAGGCACAUCUGAAGAUGGGGAAACCACAGCACAGAAUAAGGCUGGGCCCUUGAAUCAAUAAAUGAAGGAGAACUACUCAAGAGAACAAAACCACCAGCAAUAUCCACCUGUAUUUGUCUUUUCAUAAUGUGUGACACAUGUGCUCAUGGAUUAUUGUCCGAAGCAAGACAUGUGACCAAGCCUAACAUCAACUGGGUGAAGAGCUAUAUGUUCCUUUCUCAAGAGGCACUACAAGUGACAUGCCACUGGGCAGUGGCUGCUAUGGAAACAAGUCCUGAUGCAUGACAGAGGAGGAAAGCUAUCAGUCCUGUGGUUAAAGAGGGGACAUUUCCACUAGAUUUCCAAUUGCAUAUGGAAUCAAGAAAGAAGCAACUGGGAAUUACUUCACACAGCAAAUCUAAGGAAGAGACUGUUAAUUUGGCUUUGCCAGUUACUCCUUCUCAAGGCCCAUAAUUAAAUGUGAGUUUCUGGGCACUAAUGCAAAAGCCAGAUUUGCUCUGAGCCUGCGGGGCUUAUAAAUUGGUUGCUUUUGCAAACUGUUAUUGUUCCUUUAGGUCAAGAGGGGAAGAAUUAUUGACUUUGUUCAGUUGAAUUAAAUGCUCCCCUUGUGGUUUGAAAGAAGAAAUUUGCCUCCCUCACCCUCUAAGAUUACAUACAAAGGGAGAAUUGUUUUUGGGCAAGUUAGACUUGAUGAAAAAAUAUACAGUUCUACUGGAUUAUAGCACUGUGUGUUGCCUUAGAGUCACAUGACUCCAGUUUUGCCUUCUAUAUGAAGCCCAAGGCUUUCAUCUUUUUCUGAUACAGUGGGCUCUUCAGCUUUAAGCACUGACUUUUGUGUGCUAGUAUACAAUGCCUGUACACUCCCACAAAAAGCUCAAGAUGUCCUUACACGUAUUUGCUGUAGGUGUCCUUCAGCCGAUUUCAGUGCCUAGAAUCUAGAUGCUUUGCACCUAGUUUCACCUUUGCUCACAGAUGCUAGUGCCUUUUAGAAUCCCAAGAGGCCAAAGUAAAACUGAAAAGCCUAGGAGGACCUGGUGUGGCAAAAUCUCAUCAUGAUCCAUGCAACAGUGGAGGCAAUGUUACGCUCUGCCUCAGGUUAUACUUCUAUGCAAAUUAAAAAUAAAAUUCAUAGGAAGCAAUUAUAUUAGAGUUGGUAUUUAAUCCAGCAUUCUUCUGAAUUAUCUUACAUAUAAACUUAGUUCAUCUUAAUAUGAGA